RNAcentral lists this ribosomal RNA (117 nucleotides) under uncultured bacterium. RNAcentral describes it as "partial 16S ribosomal RNA". It matches the Rfam family "Bacterial small subunit ribosomal RNA", at positions 1369 to 1482 of the family's 1533-position model. The record is from RNAcentral.
CGUUCCGGGCCUUGUACACACCGCCCGUCACACCAUGGGGAGUUGGUUUUACCUGAAGACGGUGCGCUAACCGAAAGGGGGCGAGCCGGCCACGGGUAGGGUCGAGCGACUGGGGUG